UGACUGCGCCAGCCUCGGCAC
RNAcentral lists this unclassified non-coding RNA (21 nucleotides) under Mus musculus (house mouse). Its description in RNAcentral is "oocyte_clustered_small_RNA10078". The record is from RNAcentral. Lineage: Eukaryota; Metazoa; Chordata; Mammalia; Rodentia; Muridae.